GCCCCACUGGCCCAAUCUCGGCAGAGGCGCCUGACUUAGAAUCAGGAGGUUCGCGGUUCGAAUCCGCGGUGGGGUACCA
This 79-nucleotide transfer RNA is filed under the name Alphaproteobacteria bacterium. RNAcentral's name for it is "tRNA-Leu". It matches the Rfam family "tRNA". Rfam says of the family: Transfer RNA (tRNA) molecules are approximately 80 nucleotides in length. Lineage: Bacteria; Pseudomonadati; Pseudomonadota; Alphaproteobacteria. The record is from RNAcentral.